RNAcentral lists this ribosomal RNA (327 nucleotides) under Metynnis cf. mola. RNAcentral describes it as "partial small subunit ribosomal RNA". It matches the Rfam family "Bacterial small subunit ribosomal RNA", at positions 854 to 1346 of the family's 1533-position model. Lineage: Eukaryota; Metazoa; Chordata; Actinopteri; Characiformes; Serrasalmidae. The record is from RNAcentral.
CACUAACAAACACAUCCGCCAGGGUACUACGAGCGCUAGCUUAAAACCCAAAGGACUUGACGGUGUCUCAGACCCGCCUAGAGGAGCCUGUUCUAGAACCGAUAAUCCCCGUUUAACCUCACCAUCCCUUGUUCUUCCCGCCUAUAUACCGCCGUCGCAAGCUUACCCUGUGAAGGGCCUAUAGUAAGCAGAAUGGACCCCCCCCCAAACGUCAGGUCGAGGUGUAGCUCAUGAGAUGGAAAGAAAUGGGCUACAUUUUCUACUAACAGAAUAUCACGAACGGUACUAUGAAACUAGUACCCGAAGGUGGAUUUAGCAGUAAAAAAA